This is a long non-coding RNA of Stylophora pistillata, 625 nucleotides long. RefSeq lists it as uncharacterized. The record is from RefSeq and is a predicted model, not a curated record. NCBI's taxonomy places the organism in Eukaryota, Metazoa, Cnidaria, Anthozoa, Scleractinia, Pocilloporidae.
UUAGAUUGAAUAACGGGGUAAUCACUGCCAGGUGCGCAGUGUAGUCUCGGCGCACAAGGCAUCCUUGGGACAACACUUUGAACCUAGGACGAAGGACGUUAGGGUAAGUCGCUUUGAGUCAUUUGUGUUGACUAUUCAUCAAUUGCAAGUUAAAUCAACAGAAAAUGUUUUGAAGCACAGUUUUAAAAUACAGGCCCAAAACGUUCAUCCUAAACGUUGAUUACUCGGGAACAAAUCGACGGACUUAAUCAACAAACUUGGAUCGUCAGACUCGUUAGCAGCCACAAAUCAGGAAAGGCAGUAAUCUUUUCAGCCUGCAAAGGCUAGCUAGAUCAUUACCUAACUUUCCAGGUCCUCGAUUCAGUCAAGAAACAAUUUGUUGGUGAGUUGUACGCCCAUCUUUGUUAGAUGAAAGAGUUGUUUUUAAGAUCAGUAUGCUGCCCUCGAAAAAUAGAUUUAGUGUCGUGUCGAAAGACGUUUCACGAUUCGUGUGCACUGGAUUGCUUCAUGGAAGUAGGAAUAUAAUUAUUUAUUUGUGCCACAUGUAUCAAAUUUAUUUGUAAAGAAUGAAUUAACUUCAAUCUUUGAUUUUCGAUGUAUGUUCAGAUUAAAAACUUGCGUUUCA